Molecule: ribosomal RNA, 1520 nt
Filed under: Fucus vesiculosus
Lineage: Eukaryota; Phaeophyceae; Fucales; Fucaceae
Description: bacterial SSU rRNA
Rfam family: Bacterial small subunit ribosomal RNA
Source: RNAcentral
UAAAUAAAGUGAGUUUGAUCCUAGCUCAGAGUGAAGGCUAUAAGUCUGCUUUAAUACAUGCGAGUUGAAUGGUUAAAACCAUAGCGUACGGGUGAGUAAAAAGCCGCUAUCUACCCCUAACUUUGGGAUAAUUCUAUCUCUGAGGAGAGAAGGUCACAGAAAAAUACCAAAUAUUAAAAAGGUACGCCGGUUAGGGAUGAUUAGGUUUAGUAUUAGGUAAUCGGCAAAUUCAGUUUUGCCGAGCCGAAGAUGCUUAGUUGGUCUGGAAGGACGAUCAACCACAUUGGGACUGAGACAAGGCCCAGGUUUCAUUUGAAGGCAGCAGUAAGGAAUAUUGGACAAUGAGCGAAAGCUUGAUCCAGCAAGACUUGGUGAAGGAUUGAAGGCUUAGGUUGUAAACUUCUUUUUUAAUUGAGGAUAAUGACAUUAAAUUAAGAAUAAGUCCCGACUAACUUCGUGCCAGCAGUCGCGGUAAUACGAAGGGGGCUAGCCUUAUUCGCCAUAACUGGGCGUAAAGGGUCCGUAGGUUGCUCUCUGUAAAGUUAUUUGUCAAAUACUUUAGCUUAACUAUAGAAAGGCAUUUAAAACAGGAGAGCUAGAGUCUGGUAGAAGAAAAUAGAAUUUUUCAAUGAGGGGUAGAAUCCAUAGAAGUGAAAAAGAAUAUCGUGUGCGAAGGCAAUUUUCUGGUCCAGUACUGACGCUGAGGGACGAAGGCGUAGGUAGCGAACAGGAUUUGAGACCCUGGUAGUCUACGCUGUCAACGAUGGAUGCUAGUUUUUAAAAAUUUUAGAGGCUAUAGCUAAGGCAUUAAGCAUCCCGCCUGAGGAGUACGAGCGCAAGCUUAAAAAUCAACGGAAUUGGCGGGGGUUCAAACAAGUGGUGGAGCAUGUGGUUUAAUGCGAUAAUACGCGCGUAACCUUACCAGUUCUAGUAAGUCUGUCAUUCUUACGGAGACGUAUUGAAUUUUGGGAUUUUCAGGUGUUGCAUGGCUGUCGUCAGCUCGUGUCGUGAGAUGUACGGUUAAUUCCUGUAACUGAGCGUAACCCCUAUUUAUUUUAGGUUUUUCUUUUUGAAACUGAAUAAAUACUGCCAGCCACAAGCAGGAGGAAGGUGGGGAUGAGGUCAAGUCCUCAUGGCCCUUAUGAACUGGGCUACACACGUGCUACAAUGGGAAGAACAAUAAGUUGCAAGGAUUUAAAUCGGAGCUAAUCUUUAAAUCUUUUCCUAGUUCGGAUUGAGGGCUGCAACUCGCCCUCAUGAAGUUGGAAUCACUAGUAAUCGCGGAUCAGGAUGCCGCGGUGAAUAUGUCACUGGGCCUUGCACACACCGCCCGUCACGUCCUGGAAGUUUAUUUGGCCAGAAGAUUUUGGAACAAACCUUUUUUUAAGGUGUUAUAAAAAAAAAUAUAUUUUUUCGAAGAUCUUAAAAAAAGGAUGUUUCUUUUAAAGGACAGAUAAAUAACUGGGAUGAAGUCGUAACAAGGUAGUCGUAGGGGAACCUGCGGCUGGAAUAUAAAUAUA